Paramacrobiotus metropolitanus is the source of this 876-nucleotide long non-coding RNA. RefSeq lists it as uncharacterized. The record is from RefSeq and is a predicted model, not a curated record. The transcript is spliced from 5 exons. NCBI's taxonomy places the organism in Eukaryota, Metazoa, Tardigrada, Eutardigrada, Parachela, Macrobiotidae.
GCGCUCUUCCUUCCCUGCCCGGUAGCUACUUGUCCAACGGUGACGUGCCCAACCUGUCCAACAACUGCCGCUACGACCACAACUACGACGACCACCACGACAACACCAACAACGACUACAACAACAGCAGCAUCUGAGACUUGCUUGGCGUCCGGAUCCCGUUUGUGGCUGGAAUACAUUGGCUGGCCCUAUAUAUAACUCCUGUGGUGGAUAACCUAAUGACAUGCGACCUAACGGCUUUGAUAAUCGAAAAUGUCCCUACUGCCAAGACACCGGCGGAACCCCUUUUACAACUGCCAUCACCACAGCGACCAGCACUGCGAGUGUUGUGUUGUAUAGCUAUUAUCAAACCGUUGCCGUCUCAUUCGAUGCCAUGGUCAUUGCACCACCUGGAUGAGUGUUCUCUCUCGGGAAUAAUCGGAAGGAAUCAGUGCGAUAAAAAUGUCCCCGAUAUUGAAAUACGCCACAAAGCGAUCAUCAAGUUGAUUUCAUCUCGGUCAAAUAGAGCGAUAACAAUAGAGAAGCAUAGCAUUAAGGACUUUUUGUCAAAAUAUUUCAAAGGCUGUUUGUCGCUACGGAGUCCCGGGAGGGCUGUUUCAAAGUUGUUUGCUGUGUUAUGAAUACUGAGGUGCUACCUGAGCCCAGUACGUCCUUUAGUACUCUUCUAGUUUUCAUACUUGGGUCACUUUUAAUGUAUGUCUUCAUAUUUGGGCCCGCGGUCGCUGGUACGACCGCACAUGUGACGCACUACAUGGCUGCCCGACAAUCGUGUACACCUCCGCGUCUGCCGUCUGGUCAUUGGUGCACUAGUUUCGAUUCGAAAGUUGUAUGAGCAGGCGUUUAGUUCAGCCGGUAACGGGAAAGUUUUGAACUAUU